GUCUAUGGCCAUACCACCCUGAAUGUGCCUGCUCUCAUCCCAUCUCGGAAGCUAAGCAGGGUUGGAACUUGGAUGGGAGGCCGCCUGGGAAUAUCGGAUACUGUAGACU
Molecule: ribosomal RNA, 109 nt
Filed under: Prolemur simus (greater bamboo lemur)
Lineage: Eukaryota; Metazoa; Chordata; Mammalia; Primates; Lemuridae
Source: RNAcentral